UGAGGAAUAUUGGACAAUGGGCGCAAGCCUGAUCCAGCAAUGCUGCGUGCAGGAUGAAGGCCUUCGGGUUGUAAACUGCUUUUGUACGGAGCGAAAAGGUCUGCCCUAAUACGGUGGGCUCAUGACGGUACCGUAAGAAUAAGCACCGGCUAACUACGUGCCAGCAGCCGCGGUAAUACGUAGGGUGCGAGCGUUAAUCGGAAUUACUGGGCGUAAAGCGUGCGCAGGCGGUUAUAUAAGACAGAUGUGAAAUCCCCGGGCUCAACCUGGGACCUGCAUUUGUGACUGUAUAGCUAGAGUACGGUAGAGGGGGAUGGAAUUCCGCGUGUAGCAGUGAAAUGCGUAGAUAUGCGGAGGAACACCGAUGGCGAAGGCAAUCCCCUGGACCUGUACUGACGCUCAUGCACGAAAGCGUGGGGAGCAAACA
RNAcentral lists this ribosomal RNA (427 nucleotides) under uncultured bacterium. Its description in RNAcentral is "bacterial SSU rRNA". It matches the Rfam family "Bacterial small subunit ribosomal RNA", at positions 355 to 774 of the family's 1533-position model. The record is from RNAcentral.